Molecule: ribosomal RNA, 710 nt
Filed under: uncultured Lachnospiraceae bacterium
Lineage: Bacteria; Bacillati; Bacillota; Clostridia; Lachnospirales; Lachnospiraceae
Description: bacterial SSU rRNA
Rfam family: Bacterial small subunit ribosomal RNA
Source: RNAcentral
AGUCGAACGGGAAACUUUCAUUGAAGCUUCGGCAGAUUUGGUCUGUUUCUAGUGGCGGACGGGUGAGUAACGCGUGGGUAACCUGCCUUAUACAGGGGGAUAACAACCAGAAAUGGUUGCUAAUACCGCAUAAGCGCACAGGACCGCAUGGUCCGGUGUGAAAAACUCCGGUGGUAUAAGAUGGACCCGCGUUGGAUUAGCUAGUUGGCAGGGUAACGGCCUACCAAGGCGACGAUCCAUAGCCGGCCUGAGAGGGUGAACGGCCACAUUGGGACUGAGACACGGCCCAGACUCCUACGGGAGGCAGCAGUGGGGAAUAUUGCACAAUGGGGGAAACCCUGAUGCAGCGACGCCGCGUGAAGGAAGAAGUAUCUCGGUAUGUAAACUUCUAUCAGCAGGGAAGAUAGUGACGGUACCUGACUAAGAAGCCCCGGCUAACUACGUGCCAGCAGCCGCGGUAAUACGUAGGGGGCAAGCGUUAUCCGGAUUUACUGGGUGUAAAGGGAGCGUAGACGGACUGGCAAGUCUGAUGUGAAAGGCGGGGGCUCAACCCCUGGACUGCAUUGGAAACUGUUAGUCUUGAGUGCCGGAGAGGUAAGCGGAAUUCCUAGUGUAGCGGCGAAAUGCGUAGAUAUUAGGAGGAACACCAGUGGCGAAGGCGGCUUACUGGACGGUAACUGACGUUGAGGCUCGAAAGCGUGGGGAGCAAA